UGGGGAAUAUUGCACAAUGGGCGCAAGCCUGAUGCAGCCAUGCCGCGUGUAUGAAGAAGGCCUUCGGGUUGUAACGUACUUUCAGUCGGGAGGAAGGUGUCAAGGUUAAUAACCUUGGCAAUUGACGUUACCGACAGAAGAAGCACCGGCUAACUCCGUGCCAGCAGCCGCGGUAAUACGGAGGGUGCAAGCGUUAAUCGGAAUUACUGGGCGUAAAGCGCACGCAGGCGGUUUGUUAAGUCAGAUGUGAAAUCCCCGGGCUCAACCUGGGAACUGCAUCUGAUACUGGCAAGCUUGAGUCUCGUAGAGGGGGGUAGAAUUCCAGGUGUAGCGGUGAAAUGCGUAGAGAUCUGGAGGAAUACCGGUGGCGAAGGCGGCCCCCUGGACGAAGACUGACGCUCAGGUGCGAAAGCGUGGGGAGCAAACAGG
RNAcentral lists this ribosomal RNA (429 nucleotides) under Chloroflexota bacterium. RNAcentral describes it as "Chloroflexi bacterium partial 16S ribosomal RNA". It matches the Rfam family "Bacterial small subunit ribosomal RNA", at positions 355 to 776 of the family's 1533-position model. Lineage: Bacteria; Bacillati; Chloroflexota. The record is from RNAcentral.